This 241-nucleotide long non-coding RNA is filed under the name Lathyrus oleraceus (garden pea). RNAcentral's name for it is "Pisum sativum (pea) long non-coding RNA (PSAT_LNC010003)". Lineage: Eukaryota; Viridiplantae; Streptophyta; Magnoliopsida; Fabales; Fabaceae. The record is from RNAcentral.
GUUUUUGUCCACCACUUCUUCCUCUACUUGCAACACCAUAUAUGUGGUUGCUUUGGUGUGAGGAUCCUCUUUGAUUCGACAAAUUUCCUUCUUGUUGGUUUUCUCUACUAGUCGAAUUGUUGUAGCCUUCUCUACCUUUGUUGUCAAACCAUUUUCCUAUGCCUUUCUUUUCUCUUGCUAAUUGCUCCUACAAAGCCAUGUCACUCUUUGACUUACUUGCAGUUCUUUAAGCCAUUCUUUG